RNAcentral lists this unclassified non-coding RNA (443 nucleotides) under Hevea brasiliensis (rubber tree). Lineage: Eukaryota; Viridiplantae; Streptophyta; Magnoliopsida; Malpighiales; Euphorbiaceae. The record is from RNAcentral.
AGCUUGCCGGCCAAUGUCCCGCGAGCAGAGAAAGAAUCAGAAGUCUUGUAAAGAUGAUGUCAGGCAAUUACACUAGUAUUGAUAAUCAAAAGGUCUCGGGAUCCGUACCUUCUGUUCCAGAUCCAGGCCUCUCUGGUAAAUUCUCAGAUUCGAAUCUGCAGACGUUUCCUCCACCAAAUGCGCAUGGGAAAAUCUCCGGUGGAUCUCACCCUCCUCGCGAUGCUGAUGAUACAUUUUCAAAGCCUUCUUCUGCUUCUGAUGAACCCCAGCAAAGUGGUUGGUUGCGGACAUUCACAAUUGCUGCAUAUAAGCUAUACUUUGAUAUAGACACUACAGAUGUUUUGGAGAGAAUCAAAGAUUCGCUUUUCCCUUUCAGAGGAACUUUUUCUGAGAAAACUGCUGGCAACCCAGAUUUGUAUGGACCAUUCUGGAUAUGCACUACC